RNAcentral lists this ribosomal RNA (1179 nucleotides) under Vibrio cholerae. RNAcentral's name for it is "bacterial LSU rRNA". It matches the Rfam family "Bacterial large subunit ribosomal RNA", at positions 1751 to 2925 of the family's 2925-position model. Lineage: Bacteria; Pseudomonadati; Pseudomonadota; Gammaproteobacteria; Vibrionales; Vibrionaceae. The record is from RNAcentral.
CCCUCGCGGAUGGAGCUGACGAGAGUCGCAGAUACCAGGUGGCUGCAACUGUUUAUUAAAAACACAGCACUGUGCAAAAUCGCAAGAUGACGUAUACGGUGUGACGCCUGCCCGGUGCCGGAAGGUUAAUUGAUGGGGUUAGCGCAAGCGAAGCUCUUGAUCGAAGCCCCGGUAAACGGCGGCCGUAACUAUAACGGUCCUAAGGUAGCGAAAUUCCUUGUCGGGUAAGUUCCGACCUGCACGAAUGGCGUAAUGAUGGCCACGCUGUCUCCACCCGAGACUCAGUGAAAUUGAAAUCGCUGUGAAGAUGCAGUGUACCCGCGGCUAGACGGAAAGACCCCGUGAACCUUUACUACAGCUUGGCACUGAACAUUGAACCUACAUGUGUAGGAUAGGUGGGAGGCUAUGAAGACGUGACGCCAGUUGCGUUGGAGCCGUCCUUGAAAUACCACCCUUGUAUGUUUGAUGUUCUAACUUAGACCCAUUAUCUGGGUUGAGGACAGUGCCUGGUGGGUAGUUUGACUGGGGCGGUCUCCUCCCAAAGAGUAACGGAGGAGCACGAAGGUGGGCUAAUCACGGUUGGACAUCGUGAGGUUAGUGCAAUGGCAUAAGCCCGCUUAACUGCGAGAAUGACGGUUCGAGCAGGUGCGAAAGCAGGUCAUAGUGAUCCGGUGGUUCUGUAUGGAAGGGCCAUCGCUCAACGGAUAAAAGGUACUCCGGGGAUAACAGGCUGAUACCGCCCAAGAGUUCAUAUCGACGGCGGUGUUUGGCACCUCGAUGUCGGCUCAUCACAUCCUGGGGCUGAAGUCGGUCCCAAGGGUAUGGCUGUUCGCCAUUUAAAGUGGUACGCGAGCUGGGUUUAGAACGUCGUGAGACAGUUCGGUCCCUAUCUGCCGUGGGCGUUGGAAGAUUGAAGGGGGCUGCUCCUAGUACGAGAGGACCGGAGUGGACGAACCUCUGGUGUUCGGGUUGUGUCGCCAGACGCAUUGCCCGGUAGCUAAGUUCGGAAUUGAUAAGCGCUGAAAGCAUCUAAGCGCGAAGCGAGCCCUGAGAUGAGUCUUCCCUGACAGUUUAACUGUCCUAAAGGGUUGUUCGAGACUAGAACGUUGAUAGGCAGGGUGUGUAAGCGUUGUGAGGCGUUGAGCUAACCUGUACUAAUUGCCCGUGAGGCUUAACCAU